RNAcentral lists this long non-coding RNA (1542 nucleotides) under Phoenix dactylifera (date palm). Its description in RNAcentral is "long non-coding RNA (PDAC_LNC014141)". Lineage: Eukaryota; Viridiplantae; Streptophyta; Magnoliopsida; Arecales; Arecaceae. The record is from RNAcentral.
UGGUUUGGCUGAAAGAACAUUGUACUGAAAAUUUUAGAGUAGCUCCAAUUUAAUAGGGCUAUAUCUAGAAGUUGAGGCAAAAUUCAGUUACUUGGUUCCCUUUUCCUCUGUAUGUGCAAGCGGUUAUAACUUUUCAAAUUGUUAGAAAUUUGAAGGUUCUACUUUGACUUAAUUUUUCAGUAACCUGUUUGAUACUAAACUCAUGCCUGAGUCACAUAAAGGAUUGAUUCACUAGAAGUGAAGGUUUGCAUCUAUAUUAGUCUAUAUGAUAUGUCGUUGAACUCUAGGAGGUUGAUAUACAUAUUGUUCUGAAAGCUGGCCCAGAUUCUUUUCCCUUGAGAUUAAUUUUGGAACUUUUGUUGCUGAAGGGCUCUGUUCUGGAAGACACUUGGACUCAUAUCUGCCCAUAUAUCAUAGAUCAUAGCACUGAAAGUGAUGUGAUCUUUGCCAAAAUUUUCUGAAUAUUGCUGUUCAAGUGCUUUUUCAUGUAUUGAGCUCCAUAGAAAACAACCUUGCUUUGUCCUACAUUUUUUUCACUUAAUAAUUGGCUGUUGGAGGCUUUGCACUUGUCAUAGAUAAAGGAACCUAUCUUAUUAUCUCCUAAAAUUUUUAGAAAUAGUUAACAACCUUUGGGUAUGGAGACAGCUUUUCCAUUCUUUUUGCUUAUCUUGCAUUCUCCUACAUUCUUCUAUCACCAUCGUAUACUCCUUUAUUUUGGUUGUCAAAUUUUUAAUUGCUAUGAAUUCGCAUCCUUGGGAGUUUAAAAAUGGAUAACAAAUGCAUAGUUUAACUUAAUCUCUCAUUCCUAUCUUAACUUUGUGCAUCAUCCAUUAGAUGGAAUAGUUUGGUAACCAUAGAAGGGAUAAUAAGCUUGGCCAUGUUCAACAACUCAUGUACCAUAACCACAACCAUCCACCCUUGUUUGAACUAUUUUUGAGGUUGGCUAUCUAGCAACUUGUAUAUCAUGAAAUUAAUAUAAACAGUCUCUGCAUGCUUAAUCCAUUGAUCCCACAUGUUAUUAUCCAUGAUCAUACAUGCACUAAGCAUAUGUUUUCUCAUUAAAUAUAUAAUUCUUGUGAGAACUUAGUAUUGCAGAGAUAGGUUGUACAUGCUAGCUUGAGAAUCGGUGGUCAUCGUUUGCCGAGGCGGACUAAACUACCUGGUUCACCCUGUACCAAACCAAACCGGCGAGGAACCGGCAUGGUUCGGCGCCAUUUUUCAAAAAAUAGCGUGAACCGGUGCAAACGGGUUCGGCUACUCCUCUUUCAAUAUCUCAAAAACUUGAAUUAUGGUUUAUUGAACUGGGGUGAACCAUCUGGCUCCUCCGUACCGAACCAGCACUGAUCGGCACCAGUUCGGCUAACCUUAAUGGUGGUCCGUUGUCUACUUUUCUUUCUAACGCUCUUAGUGUUGGCUUUGACGUAUUGAUCGAACAACAUGAUUUACAUAUUAGUGGUAAUUAAAAUUGAAUACUAAAGUCUAGAGCUACAUAUUGAGUUUCAGUUUCAAGCAUAGUUUUCCAACAUGGUUACCUCAAUAUUG